GCUUAAUACAUGCAAGUCGAACGGUAAGGUCCCGAGUUUUACUCGGGAUACACGAGUGGCGCACGGGUGAGUAACGCGUACGCAACCUACCCUUAAGAGGGGGAUAGCCCUGGGAAACUGGGAGUAAUCCGCCAUGUGAUAUAAAUUCUGCAUGGGAUUUAUAUUAAAGCUUAGGUGCUUAAGGAUGGGCGUGCGUUAGAUUAGGUAGUUGGUGAGGUAACGGCUCACCAAGCCGACGAUC
RNAcentral lists this ribosomal RNA (241 nucleotides) under uncultured bacterium. RNAcentral describes it as "partial 16S ribosomal RNA". It matches the Rfam family "Bacterial small subunit ribosomal RNA", at positions 46 to 281 of the family's 1533-position model. The record is from RNAcentral.